Molecule: ribosomal RNA, 253 nt
Filed under: uncultured bacterium
Lineage: Bacteria
Description: partial 16S ribosomal RNA
Rfam family: Bacterial small subunit ribosomal RNA
Source: RNAcentral
UACGUAGGUGGCAAGCGUUGUCCGGAAUUAUUGGGCGUAAAGCGCGCGCAGGCGGUCUUUUACGUCUGAUGUGAAAGCCCACGGCUCAACCGUGGAGGGUCAUUGGAAACUGGGGGACUUGAGUACAGAAGAGAAGAGUGGAAUUCCACGUGUAGCGGUGAAAUGCGCAGAUAUCGAGAGGAACACCUGCGGCGAAGGCGGGUUGCUGGGCUGAUACUGACGCUGAGGCGCGAAAGCCAGGGGAGCGAACGGG